This is a long non-coding RNA of Oncorhynchus keta (chum salmon), 1739 nucleotides long. RefSeq lists it as uncharacterized. The record is from RefSeq and is a predicted model, not a curated record. NCBI's taxonomy places the organism in Eukaryota, Metazoa, Chordata, Actinopteri, Salmoniformes, Salmonidae. The transcript is spliced from 3 exons.
UACCUCACCCAUUGGCCUAUCUACCAACAGUGCUAGCUUUAAAGGCCUAUUCUUUAAUGUCAACUCAUUUGUCUACAGAAGUAUGAAAAAUACAAUUUUAGAAAGCUAUUUACUCAGUGGAAAAAGCAGACUGGCAUGCACCUAAGAGCAGUACCCUAUGCCAGAACGAAAAAUCUUAAAGGUGUUUUAAAAAGGAGCGAAAGACUGAAUCGUUUAACCAUGUCAUCUCGUGAAACUCUGGGAAACAAUAUGGCUUUGAGUUUCUCUCCCCGUCGUCCUGUUAUCUUCUGUUUUCCAGCGCUCAACUCUCAGAGCUUAUACAGUUUAAAGGAGGUUCUUAACUCAAGGCUUUGUGUCACUUGGAAACAGUGCAUUUGUUGCCGAGGUAACCGGUCUGGUCCGGCGAAACUCUGAAACGGAGACAACCUCUGUUUGGGGCAGGGCGUGGCCAGGCCUGACUUAUCAAUGGUAGAGAGCUGCUUUCGUCCAGAAACCACUCUGGUCUUUUAAAGAGACCUGUAUGUCUCAUUUCCAAGGCUUGCAGUAACCCGAUAUCCUUAUAAUAUGAGCACAUCGAAUAGUUGUGAAAUGGUAGAAUGGAAAAUCUUGUUUCAGUCUCCAUGAAAUGCCAACCUUGUGAUGCACUGAAACAGAAGCUUUGUCACAUGGGACACUUUUAAAGAUGGAAGAAUGUGACAUUCUGGGGACGUGUUCCAAAGGACCGGUCCUAUUAAAGGUCUUGUGAAUAUAAACGGGAUAAAAAACGAAGUAGUCAAACUUUUCAUUGAUUGGGGCAAAACAUAGUGGAACAGUGAACUAAGGCCUACACACUAAUUUGAUCCAACACAAACCUUUAGUUCCUUUUAGUUCACAAUGUUUCACUCCUGAAGAGACCUUGGCCUGACAAAACUUUGUGAAGUCAUAAAGGCAGUAUUUAUUUAUCUUUAUUUAACUAGGCAAGUCAGUUAACAACAAAUUCUUAUUUACAAUGACAGCCUAACGGGGAACCGUGGGUUAACUGCCUUGUUCAGGGGCAGAGCGACAUAUUUUUACCUUGUCAGCUCGGGGAUUCAAUCCAGCAACCUUUCGGUUACUGGGCCAACGCUCUAACCACUAGGCUACCUGCUGCCCCGGUUAGUUAGGCAGACAGUCAUACAGUCAGAUAUGCAGGCAAGCAGACAGGCUGGGAAAGCAGGCAGUCAGUCAGGCAGACAGACAGGCAGUUAGACAGGGAGGGGUUUAAACAGAGACACAUGACCAGGCAUGUUAACACAAGGAUUACAGCAUAAAACACACAGAAUAAAACCUUGGAGGAAAUCAGAGGAAUGUUCCAGAGAAACUACAGGAACUAUUGACCGCGUCAACAGCAUUUACACAUGGAUAUAGUAAAAGAGACAGAUGCAAACAAAACUAGAGCAUUUUAAUAGUCGUCAAUGUAAAAUCUAUACAAUGGCAAAUUCAUCAGAGACUGGUGAUACCAAGGAACUAACAUCAGGCAGAAGCUACAUCGAUGAAAUUGGGAAGAUGGGCAUUCAACAGGGAUGGAGAGAAGAUGGCUACUGGAUGUUCUCUGGACUGGAUCCUGUAUCAGCAGCAGCAGUGGAAGUUCCAUGUUGCAUCUGGCUAUCAUCAAUAUCAUUUAUUAAUAUCAGAAUACAGACCUUUAGACUAAUGUGAGUGUUGUCCAGUGUUCCUCAGCCCCUUCCAGUGGGUUGUUUCCUCAGCCCCUUCUGGACAGG